Molecule: long non-coding RNA, 1549 nt
Filed under: Anas platyrhynchos platyrhynchos (common mallard)
Lineage: Eukaryota; Metazoa; Chordata; Aves; Anseriformes; Anatidae
Description: lncRNA (ENSAPLG00000029325.1)
Source: RNAcentral
CUAAGCAUAGAAAGCAAUACUUUGAAAAUAGCUCUUUAUUGUUCAAGUACUUUCAAAGUGUAUUUUUAAACAUCUGGAGCUGUGAAACUGCACGGAUGAGAUUGGUCGUUACAGGAGGAGGCAGCGGAUGGCAAGCAGCUGUGGGAUCAACAACAUAACACCUGGUUUCUGACCUAAAGUGACUAAGAAACUGGAGAUCUCAUCACUGGCAGCCACAGUCCUGCAACAUGAUCUAUCCUCUGAUAUAUUUGUCUAAUGCUUUUUUUUAGGCCUCCUGUAGGCUCUAGCUUCAGAAAACAAGCCCUCUGAGUUCUUUCUUUCCUUGCAGAAAUUGGCAAAGAGAUAAGAAACAAAGUGUCUCCUAGACCUCAUGGAUUCCCUAUUUUUUCCUCGGUUUCUACUUAUAGCAUUCACACUUCCUGCUACAGGAGACUAACUGCAGCAAAAUGUUUUCAGUCUGCCAGAAGGAUCGCUUAUAAGAUCUUCAGAAGCAGUCAGGCUCUCAGCUGUGCCUCUACUCAUCUAAACCCUUCAGAUGGGCACUACUGACACCUACCUCUGCCACUGAACCCAGUGGGUGCCUUGACUGAUGAAAAAACUCCUAAUGGAAUUCACUGUCCACCAUGAAUGAAGUGAUUGGGGUUGCAGCUCAAGCGAGAAGACCUUGCAAAUAGGCACCUUGCUAGUAAGACCCGAUCUCCCACUUAUGACAUGUACUGAAUCAGGAUAAGUUAAAGGUCAGAGCCCUCAGACACAAUUUGGACUGCUUAGGUGUGUUUGCAACCUCUGUUGUGAUGUGAGCUUUGCCCUCUGUAUUAAAGGGGAUUUCCCUAAAUGUCAGGUUUGGGGUUGAUCUCUCUUACUGAAUAGCAACAGGAUAAUGCCACUGCAUUUAAGUGGUGAGGCUUGAUGAGCAGGGUAUAAACCUGACUCCCUAGACCACUGGUUCAUAAACCGUAGUAUGUUGGAGACUCUGUGCCCUACCUAACUGUUCAGCUAUCAAAAAUGAGGAAACUAACACAAAAUGAGGAAACUCAAAAUACUUGGUAGGGCACUGACAUGAAAUCCUAUACUCAUAUCCCUGCUCUGAAUCAUGCUGGCCAUAUUUAGUAAACCUAGGACUCCUACUCCCCUAGUGAAUAAUCCAAACUGGAAGGCAAAUGCGUGUUUUUAGAAGUGGAGAUGGAGACAUUCUGGCUGCUAGCAGGGACCCUUAAUACCUGGGAAAGGACUCAACCUUUGCUUCAAGCAUGAUCCGUCUACAAAAGAUGGAUUAUUAAGGCAAACUGCUAGUAUGUGGAUGAUUCACUUGAUUUAUGAGGAAGAAAAUGGAUUAAAGGAGAUCUUUGAAAACUAAGUUUUGUGCAUCAGGUUGGACUAUGCAACAAAAGAUUAUUGAGAAAAAUAUUUCUCACCAAUGUAUUGUUAAGGAAACAUUGUGAUUUCAUAGGUAGAAUCCAUUUAAUCUUUUUGACUGCAGCCAAAAAUAUAAUCCUCCCUGGAUAAGAUGCUUAAGAGGUGCUGAGCAGUUUCAAAUCCUACAACUAUU